This is a long non-coding RNA of Xiphophorus couchianus (Monterrey platyfish), 1003 nucleotides long. RefSeq lists it as uncharacterized. The record is from RefSeq and is a predicted model, not a curated record. Lineage: Eukaryota; Metazoa; Chordata; Actinopteri; Cyprinodontiformes; Poeciliidae. The transcript has 2 exons.
UUCAGAUGACGAUACGUCACCAUGUCUCCAUUAACCAUGAAAUAUUUAGUUCCCACAGGACUGAACCGCCAUCUUGGUAGGCAGAGCACCAACCAACAAAAAGAAAGUAUCUUGACACUUUUUACCAAUGUGUGAUACAUGAUCAAAAUGGCUGCUGUCGGGAUUGACAGACGGAGAAUGGAAACAUGUCAGACGAUAUGGAGAAGCUGCCUCCGAUCUCAUCCUACGACACAGUUCACUAGUUACUGAAGAGUGAGAUCAAUGGACGCAAACAAUCAAUGUUUAAACGGCUUUAUAAACGACGUACAAACUGUUCAGGUGAAUAACAAGGUUCUGGUGUUUAGAAUUAACGAGGAGCAGCCUCUGCACCGUCUGGCCAACAUUACAACCCCCAGAAGUCUGGAGACAAAAACGAAACAAAACGCAGGAGAGAGCCAAUCAGGGAGCAGCGGCGUCUCCGGUGACCCGCUGUCUCCUCGUUACCACGGCGACCUCGCAUCGCAGGGCGCGGGGACAGGAGAGACAGGAGCGAUGAUGUGCUGUGAAAAGUUUAAACCGGAGGGAUGAAAACAGAAGGUUUCUAUUGUUAUCCUGUUUUUAUUGUUCUCUGAUAAUCUGAGGUGUUUUUUUUGCUUUUCUCUGCAUUUUUAAUCUCUUAUCACAUCAUUUUGUUUCCUUCUUGGUCUUUUCGUUACUUUGCAUUUUUGAUUGGUUUUGUAGUCGUUUCAACAUUUUUCUCUCAUUUCACUUAACAAUUUUAAGAAGUUAUUUUGCAUAUUUUUGUGCUGCUUUAAAAAAAAAAGCAAAAGUCAGAGGUGAAUUUCAGAAGUUUUAUUAUGCUAUCAAGUACAAAAACAAACAACUAACUGAAUAACUAAAGCACAGAUGCACCGAUUACGCUUUUUAUAUCCAAUGUAAUUUUUUCUCACUUACUGUUUCUGAUUUUGGCUGUUUCCAUUUUGAUUUUCAUGUCAAAAUAAAACAUAAAAUGUGCUGCAUGUUA